GACAUAGGUCGCAAACGUUAUCCGGAAUUAUUGGGCGUAAAGGAUGCGUAGAUGGUUCAGUAAGUUACUGGUGGGAAAUCGAGGCCCAACCUCGUGGAAGUUAGUAAUACUGUAGAGCUUGAGACCGGAAGAGGUAAGUGGAACUGCGAGUGUAGAGGUGAAAUUCGUAGAUAUUCGCAAGAACACCAGUGGCGAAGGCGGCUUACUGGUCCGGUUCUGACGCUGAGGCGCGAAAGCGUGGGGAGCAAACAGG
Molecule: ribosomal RNA, 253 nt
Filed under: uncultured bacterium
Lineage: Bacteria
Description: partial 16S ribosomal RNA
Rfam family: Bacterial small subunit ribosomal RNA
Source: RNAcentral